AUAGUCUGUAUCUCGGUGAACAGUUGAAUUUAUCUAUUAGUUGUUUUAUGAUGAUGAUAAAUGAUUUUGUACAUUUCUGUACGGAAUUCACUUUGUGCAUCAAUUAGUAAAUUUUUUGGAUUUAUUUUGUUAACUAGGAUUUUCUAGUACACUUUCAUGGAUGUACACAAUUAAAUUAUUCUUCUGUAGCUGUCACAUUGUUUGCUAUCUCCUGUCUUGAAAAUGGGUAGUCGCUACGCUAUUUCUUAGACUUUUGGUGUCUUCGCUGUCCUCCAAGCUAUGUAUCAUAUUUUUAACCGAUUGCCAGGAAGGGUUAUGAUUUUUUAACGCGUAUCUUAGCUCAAGAUAAACCACCAUGCUUCGAUUUUGAUACCAGCAAAUUCUCCAAGACUGCUGUUUGCAUUGUAAUUUUUCAAACUAGUAGAUUGCCGUAAAAAUCGCACUGGAACUGGCCAACCAAAUAUCCUUAUGAUUAAUGAUGAAACUUCGUUAUGCAAAGUUUUGAAGAAACCCCUUUGACAUCUAUUCAGAAAAGUGUAGGAGCUACUUGUAUUCGUAAUAUUAAUAAGCCGAUUAUGUUCAAAUCCCUAUGAAUUUACGUCAGUUCGAAAAUUAUCUGAAGAUGAUCAUGACUAUAGAAUUGAAUUCAAGACUUUCCGAUAGAGCAACGUUUAUUUUAAAUGGCAUAGAUAGUUGCUUCAAUUAUAGAGAUAUACAGUUGGUAACAGUUUCAAUGACAUUCGAUUUCAUCACGAUUGUGAAUCAUCAAAUUUAAGUGAUACGAGAUUAGUACUACGAAGUUUAACAAGACAAAUUAAAAGAAGGGGUACAUUAAAGUGACCAAACAGAUAUUCUAAUUGAUUGCUUUUAGACUAUAUCUGUGUAUAAAUAAAUGACUUAGUGUACAUGACAAAACGUAAGACAUAACAAAUCAGCAAUUGCCUGAGUCUGUUGAAAAAUAAACAAUUAUCAAACAUUUUGUUGCGAGACUUACUGAAAUCAAAAUCGGUCGGUAAAAGUCCACUCUUACUAGGUAUGGUUAACAUUAAUCUUUUGAUAUUCCUCUCUCCUCACGCAAUUGUGAAUGGUAACGAUAUGUUUCCUUAAUUCUUUAUGUAUUUUAAAGUCUAAGAAUUACAAAUAACUCAUAAAUAAGAUUAUUGGUAGUCUGAAUAAUGGAUGUUCAAACUUUAAAAUCGUUCAUAUGGGCUAGUUUAGAUUAGUUUAAGCUCAGGUUAGGAAUUCUCAAAAGCUCUGGUAACACCGAAAAAAAAUCCAAGAAGUACAUAUCUGAAAGAUGUGAUUUGAUUAUAAUCUUCAAAUUUCCGUGAUUCCAAAAUCUGUUUGGAUUAUGUAUGUUCUGUUUUUCAUUCGUUUUUACUUUAUAUAUUAUUAAGAUUACAAUUGUAUGCUAACACCAUUACCUUUAGUGCUAGUGAACACGGCAUUUAUCUAAUUUUUCUACUACAUUGCCUCAUAUUUUUCAAUUUGAACUCGAUUUUAAAAUUUAUUGUCGCUCUUUUCAUUAUAUUGCAGUGAGUCGUUGAGAUCCGCCUGUGGUUUGGAUUGGAUUGUUUUUCUCCAGGGAAAUCGUCUGAACAAGUUUAAAAUGUAUACGAGAAUGAACCGCAAGCUCUGUCGAGUGCAUUGUGUUUGAAUGUGCUUGCUUUAUAAGGAUAAGGAUGUAGGGUGUAAGGACUAACGGAUGAGAUUAUGUGAAUAGGAGAAGGGGAAAUGAUUGCUAGGAAGUAAAAUAAUAGACUUUUUUAGUAUUUUAUGUCAUCGAAUGUAAUUAGAUUUGUAACUUUCUAGUUAUCUUGAUAAACUUGUUAAUUGCUUGAUUUUAUGUAAAAUUAAAACCAACAUCCUUCCUAA
Long non-coding RNA from Diorhabda carinulata, 1875 nucleotides. RefSeq lists it as uncharacterized. The transcript is spliced from 2 exons. The record is from RefSeq and is a predicted model, not a curated record. NCBI's taxonomy places the organism in Eukaryota, Metazoa, Arthropoda, Insecta, Coleoptera, Chrysomelidae.